Non-coding RNA from Cinara cedri, 243 nucleotides. The record is from the annotation of a GenBank genome assembly. Lineage: Eukaryota; Metazoa; Arthropoda; Insecta; Hemiptera; Aphididae.
AAGUAUAAAAAACGGCUUAAACGGAAGAUGUAUAGAUAACAGAGACCUCUGCAGGAGCUGGGCGAUAGCGGCGAAGCGCCUUUGAAUGUGAAAAAAGAAAUAUACUUGCAUACUUACCGACCGUUUAUUACUAGUAUACGCCUAUAUUAUUUACGCGGCUGUCGUUUCACGUUGUUCAUUUGCGAAAAAACAUCGAUCCCGACGGUUGACUGUAUUAUGAAAAUAUUAUACGUCCUAGCGUAU